This 253-nucleotide ribosomal RNA is filed under the name uncultured bacterium. Its description in RNAcentral is "partial 16S ribosomal RNA". It matches the Rfam family "Bacterial small subunit ribosomal RNA", at positions 524 to 776 of the family's 1533-position model. The record is from RNAcentral.
UACGGAGGAUGCAAGCGUUAUCCGGAGUGAUUGGGCGUAAAGGGUCCGCAGGCGGAAUUUCAAGUCUGCUGUCAAAGCGUGAAGCUUAACUUCAUAAAGGCAGUGGAAACUGAGAAUCUAGAGUACGUUCGGGGCAGAGGGAAUUCCCAGUGUAGCGGUGAAAUGCGUAGAGAUUGGGAAGAACACCAGUGGCGAAAGCGCUCUGCUAGGCCUGUACUGACGCUGAGGGGCGAAAGCUAGGGGAGCGAAUGGG